Molecule: ribosomal RNA, 597 nt
Filed under: Muellerella atricola
Lineage: Eukaryota; Fungi; Ascomycota; Eurotiomycetes; Verrucariales; Verrucariaceae
Description: SSU rRNA
Rfam family: Eukaryotic small subunit ribosomal RNA
Source: RNAcentral
UUUAUUUGAUAGUACCUUUACCUGGAUAACCGUGGUAAUUCUAGAGCUAAUACAUGCUAAAAACCUCGACUUCGGAAGGGGUGUAUUUAUUAGAUAAAAAACCAAUGCCCUCCGGGGCUCCUUGGUGAUUCAUAAUAACUCAACGAAUCGCAUGGCCUUGCGCCGGCGAUGGUUCAUUCAAAUUUCUGCCCUAUCAACUUUCGAUGGUAGGAUAGUGGCCUACCAUGGUCUUUACGGGUAUCGGGGAAUCAGGGUUCUAUUCCGGAGAGGGAGCCUGAGAAACGGCUACCACAUCCAAGGAAGGCAGCAGGCGCGCAAAUUACCCAAUCCCGACACGGGGAGGUAGUGACAAUAAAUACUGAUACAGGGGUCUUUUGGCUCGUGUAAUUGGAAUGAGUACAAUCUAAAUCCCUUAACGAGGAACAAUUGGAGGGCAAGUCUGGUGCCAGCAGCCGCGGUAAUUCCAGCUCCAAUAGCGUAUAUUAAAGUUGUUGCCGUUAAAAAGCUCGUAGUUGAACCUUGGGCCUGGCUGAUCUGUCCUCCUAAUCGAGCGCACGGAUUCGGUCGGGCCUUUCCUUCUGGGGAGCCCGAUGUCUU